RNAcentral lists this ribosomal RNA (335 nucleotides) under uncultured microorganism. RNAcentral's name for it is "bacterial SSU rRNA". It matches the Rfam family "Archaeal small subunit ribosomal RNA", at positions 330 to 668 of the family's 1478-position model. The record is from RNAcentral.
GUGCACCAGGCGAGAAACUUUACAAUGUGCGAAAGCACGAUAAGGGAACUCUGAGUGCCUCCUAAGGAGGCUGUUCAGGUGUCUAAAAAGCACCUGAAGGAAGGGCUGGGUAAGACCGGUGCCAGCCGCCGCGGUAACACCGGCAGCCCAAGUGGUAGCCCACGUUUAUUGGGGUCUAAAAGCGUCCGUAGCCGGCUGGGUAAGUUCCUUGGGAAAUUUGGCUGCUUAACAGUCAAGCUUUCAGGGAAUACUGCCCGGCUUGGGACCGGGAGAGGUCAGAGGUACUCCAGGGGUAGGGUGAAAAUCCAUUAAUCCUUGGGGGACCACCGGUAGCG